GAUGAACGCUGGCGGCGUGCCUAAUACAUGCAAGUCGAGCGAACGGACGAGAAGCUUGCUUCUCUGAUGUUAGCGGCGGACGGGUGAGUAACACGUGGAUAACCUACCUAUAAGACUGGGAUAACUUCGGGAAACCGGAGCUAAUACCGGAUAAUAUUUUGAACCGCAUGGUUCAAAAGUGAAAGACGGUCUUGCUGUCACUUAUAGAUGGAUCCGCGCUGCAUUAGCUAGUUGGUAAGGUAACGGCUUACCAAGGCAACGAUGCAUAGCCGACCUGAGAGGGUGAUCGGCCACACUGGAACUGAGACACGGUCCAGACUCCUACGGGAGGCAGCAGUAGGGAAUCUUCCGCAAUGGGCGAAAGCCUGACGGAGCAACGCCGCGUGAGCGAUGAAGGUCUUCGGAUCGUAAAACUCUGUUAUUAGGGAAGAACAUAUGUGUAAAUAACUGUGCACAUCUUGACGGUACCUAAUCAGAAAGCCACGGCUAACUACGUG
This 497-nucleotide ribosomal RNA is filed under the name uncultured bacterium. Its description in RNAcentral is "partial 16S ribosomal RNA". It matches the Rfam family "Bacterial small subunit ribosomal RNA", at positions 28 to 507 of the family's 1533-position model. The record is from RNAcentral.